GACCGCUGCGUGGGAUGCGCAGUCUCCAGGGGCCCGAGCAGGGCGACAUCCGCAGGGCGGACGCGCACUCCCAUACCCCUCCCGAGGCCAGACCUCGCGGUUCCUCUUCCCCUUCCCCGCUGACAGCGAGACGUGGACAGGCGCCGCGUAGAUCCGGUGGAGGCUCCCAAAUUGUUGCCAGUCAUCUGGCGGGGCCCCUGCCCCCUUCCUGCCGCCCCGCGCUGGGAAGAGCACCCCCUUUCCCUGGGCCCUCUGCCAGCCUGAGUUGCUGGGAAAGGCAGGCAUGUAGCCAGCCGCGGGCAGAGCUGGAGACAGGCCGCCACUGGCCCCGGGAGGAGCGACGAGUCUGGUUUUAGUUCGGGAUUUUUCGGACAUCCUGCGCGGUCCUACCCGGCCCAUCGCUCGGUGCUUUGAUGUCUUGGGGUGGGGCCUAGCUCCAAAGGUGAGGAUGGAUGGUCAGGGCCUGUGGGCUGUCUUCUUGCCUCUGUCUGUUCGCCUUUGUCCCAUCGGUUCAUGGAGGCCAGACCCAAACGCACACUAGCUUUCCCAGCCUGACUCACAGGCCUCUGCUCCACUCCCACCUCCCAAUAUCUUUCUGCAUUAGGGACCCCACAGGACCGCCAGGGAAUGUUAGGGCGAGCUCCAUUCCGUUUUACAGACAGAGCCCUAGAGCUUGCUUGUAAGAAAAGCCAGAAUAACAUUAGAACCUUGUCUCCCAAGUCCCCUUCCAGCGCUGUUUGCAUGAAAACAGUGGUGUUCCCUGGGAUUCCGGCUCAGGAGUUACCCUCUCAAAGAGGGUUUCCAGGCUAAAUGGGUUUGUCAAAGGUGCUAUCCCCCCUUCUCGGAGAGUCACUGGCACAUCCAAGGCUCCGAGAAGUCCUGCCGUAAAACCAGGCAAUAAGAAGGGUUUCUUGCCCCAGGGCCUGGAUCAGAUUUUGCCACUUAAGGUUCCCCUGCAGUCUUGGCUUUCGUUUCUUCCUAGGGGGCCCAACCCAUUGGUCUUUUUGAAGACUUGGGGUGCUCCCUCUUUCCCAGGGACUUUCUCUAGCAGAGGGAGGGCCCAGCCCAUGAGGGAAAAUAACUGCUCCUUGACAGGCCAGGGAGAGGCCUGGGACCUGGUGGAUCUGAACAUUCCUUUACAUCGUUUGGGAAAUGAAGCCAAAGUUACCCAGAUGGUUUCCCAGUCAAAGGGAAUGACACCUGCAAGAGAUCCUGGCUCUGCCUGUGACAGCGGUCACACUCACCGAGAGAGGAAAGCUCUCUGGCGCUGGGGUGGACAGCUGGCCCAGCCUCAGGAAGGUUUCUGUGUUGCAGGAGCCAUGGAGAUUCCCAGGGAUCCGGGCCUGUGUCAACACGGUUUCACAGCGGGGGAGGGAAGGACCUCUGCCCAGCAGCUUUCUGUCAACACCAUCCAGUGGAAAAACCAAGAUGGGUGAAGAUUCAUUUCGCCUCAACAUAAGAGAAAUCCUGAGUGCUGUGACUUGGGCACAAUAUUCCAAACAUCUGGAACUGAGCCCUGUGCCUCUGUACCCUAAGCAGCGGGUUUUGGCUCCAGCUUUUGUUCCUUUUGUCUUUUCUUAGACCACCAUCUAAGUUGCAUCCUCCGCUCAGAUCCAGACCCCUGAGGAUGCUGUCUUAGUCCCCCCAGCCCAUGGUGCUCCGUCUGUGGUCCAGUGACCUUACUCAGGAGCAGAUUUCUCCUUGGCCUUCAUGGUACCUUAUCCAUCCAGAUGUGCCUGAAAUAUUUCAAUGCUCACUGGCUCUUCCAGAUGUGCCUUGUGCUUGGCCUCUCGCUGCUUCUCCAGAUGUGAGAAGGGUGUGUAAUAUGGCCCCACAUCCUCCCCUCCCCCUUGAGGCCCUGUGCCAUAGGAAUGGCCACCUGAUCUGGCCCAGAAUGUUUGGAUACUGGAGUCCAUCUCUGGCUUCUCUCUCUGGACUCCAGGACUCAAUCUAGCCCAAGACCACUGUGGGCUGCUCCCAGCCCAAAGCCUAGGACCACUUGCAGACCCAGGAGAGGAUUUUUCCAGCGUUCUACAGUGGUCUAAAGAAAGGGUGGAAAUGGGAGGCCUGAGGGCUGGUAGGGAGAGGGGACCAAUGUGCCUCAUUUAAGAGUCCAGUGGUGAUUACUAAUAUGCUUUUAUGAAUAAAGUUUGGUUUGUCUGAU
Myotis brandtii (Brandt's bat) is the source of this 2164-nucleotide long non-coding RNA. RefSeq lists it as uncharacterized. The transcript has 2 exons. The record is from RefSeq and is a predicted model, not a curated record. NCBI's taxonomy places the organism in Eukaryota, Metazoa, Chordata, Mammalia, Chiroptera, Vespertilionidae.